CCCUUCGGGGUGUGACUGCGUACCUUUUGUAUAAUGGGUCAGCGACUUAUAUUCUGUAGCAAGGUUAACCGUAUAGGGGAGCCGGAGGGAAACCGAGUCUUAACCGGGCGUUAAGUUGCAGGGUAUAGACCCGAAACCCGGUGAUCUAGCCAUGGGCAGGUUGAAGGUUGGGUAACACUAACUGGAGGACCGAACCGACUAAUGUUGAAAAAUUAGCGGAUGACCUGUGGCUGGGGGUGAAAGGCCAAUCAAACCGGGAGAUAGCUGGUUCUCCCCGAAAGCUAUUUAGGUAGCGCCUCGUGAAUUCAUCUCCGGGGGUAGAGCACUGUUUCGGCUAGGGGGCCAUCCCGGCUUACCAACCCGAUGCAAACUGCGAAUACCGGAGAAUGUUAUCACGGGAGACACACGGCGGGUGCUAACGUCCGUCGUGAAGAGGGAAACAACCCAGACCGCCAGCUAAGGUCCCAAAGUCAUGGUUAAGUGGGAAACGAUGUGGGAAGGCCCAGACAGCCAGGAUGUUGGCUUAGAAGCAGCCAUCAUUUAAAGAAAGCGUAAUAGCUCACUGGUCGAGUCGGCCUGCGCGGAAGAUGUAACGGGGCUAAACCAUGCACCGAAGCUGCGGCAGCGAACGUAUCACCCAAGACAACUUUACGGAGUUGACGAUUGACGGAGCGAAGCGACGUCAAAGCGUUCAUUAAAGUCGAGUUGGCUUAGGGAUACGUUCGUUGGGUAGGGGAGCGUUCUGUAAGCCUGUGAAGGUGUGUCGUGAGGCAUGCUGGAGGUAUCAGAAGUGCGAAUGCUGACAUAAGUAACGAUAAAGCGGGUGAAAAGCCCGCUCGCCGGAAGACCAAGGGUUCCUGUCCAACGUUAAUCGGGGCAGGGUGAGUCGACCCCUAAGGCGAGGCCGAAAGGCGUAGUCGAUGGGAAACGGGUUAAUAUUCCCGUACUUGGUGUUACUGCGAAGGGGGGACGGAGAAGGCUAUGUUGGCCGGGCGACGGUUGUCCCGGUUUAAGCGUGUAGGUGUGUGUUCCAGGUAAAUCCGGUUCACUUUAACACUGAGGCGUGACGACGAGGCACUACGGUGCUGAAGCAACAAAUGCCCUGCUUCCAGGAAAAGCCUCUAAGCAUCAGGUAACAC
This 1139-nucleotide ribosomal RNA is filed under the name Salmonella enterica subsp. enterica serovar Typhimurium. RNAcentral describes it as "partial 23S ribosomal RNA". It matches the Rfam family "Bacterial large subunit ribosomal RNA", at positions 582 to 1637 of the family's 2925-position model. The record is from RNAcentral. Lineage: Bacteria; Pseudomonadati; Pseudomonadota; Gammaproteobacteria; Enterobacterales; Enterobacteriaceae.